GCUGGACAUAGUGUGGAAUAGAGCCAGCUGCCUCUCUCCCAAUCUCUUAAAGCAAUAUGCAGCAUAACCUCAAAGGUAGCUUUGUUCUCCUUUCCUAUCCUUCAGAAUCUGCUAACGCAACCUCACAACUCUUCAUAGCUUUGUUGUAACCUACUGCAUUCAGUUAACAGCACUAAGGUGUAUGAAAUUCCCUCAUGAAUGGUGAAAACAUUUGGCUUCGAUGGAUGAAUAAGGAAGGCAGUUUGUUGCAACUAAACGACGGGAUGCCAACACACAAAAAGGACUCUAAAUAUGUGCAGUUUCACAGCUUUGGUGUCUGAACUACCAACUCCAAGCCUAGCCUACCCCACACAAACGUAGUGAAGAUUAAAAGGGGAGAGGAGAAAACACUAUACACAGCCUCUGGGAGGAAAAAUGAGACACAAAUCAACAACAACCAGCCAUCUAACCACGUGCAGUCCCCUUCCCAUUUUGCCAAUCUUGAUAAACAAAAAAGUAGCAUUGUGUUGAAGUACAGUCUAUAUGAAUUUUUAACUUGUUACAACUAUAAAGUGUUUGAUGCUUU
Molecule: long non-coding RNA, 565 nt
Organism: Podarcis raffonei (Aeolian wall lizard)
Lineage: Eukaryota; Metazoa; Chordata; Lepidosauria; Squamata; Lacertidae
Exons: 2
Source: RefSeq, a predicted model, not a curated record